RNAcentral lists this transfer RNA (64 nucleotides) under uncultured Treponema sp. It matches the Rfam family "tRNA", at positions 5 to 66 of the family's 71-position model. From Rfam's summary of the family: Transfer RNA (tRNA) molecules are approximately 80 nucleotides in length. Lineage: Bacteria; Pseudomonadati; Spirochaetota; Spirochaetia; Treponematales; Treponemataceae. The record is from RNAcentral.
CAGUAGCUCAGUUGGUAGAGUCCCGGUCUCCAAAACCGGUUGUCGAGGGUUCGAGUCCUUCCUG